Molecule: unclassified non-coding RNA, 157 nt
Filed under: Aureobasidium pullulans
Lineage: Eukaryota; Fungi; Ascomycota; Dothideomycetes; Dothideales; Saccotheciaceae
Also listed under: 1 other name
Description: partial internal transcribed spacer 2
Source: RNAcentral
CACCACUCAAGCUAUGCUUGGUAUUGGGCGUCGUCCUUAGUUGGGCGCGCCUUAAAGACCUCGGCGAGGCCUCACCGGCUUUAGGCGUAGUAGAAUUUAUUCAAUAACGUCUGUCAAUGGAGAGGACUUCUGCCGACUGAAACCUUUAUUUUUUACA